RNAcentral lists this long non-coding RNA (1230 nucleotides) under Salmo salar (Atlantic salmon). RNAcentral describes it as "lncRNA (ENSSSAG00000094408.1, ENSSSAG00000108326.1)". Lineage: Eukaryota; Metazoa; Chordata; Actinopteri; Salmoniformes; Salmonidae. The record is from RNAcentral.
GUUCUGCAAAGUCCAUCAUUUAUGUCCAAAUACGUCCGUUUUGUUGACCCAUCCAGAACACUUUACAAUGCCAUGUGGCGUGGAUGCAAAUCCAUAGACGAAAUGGUCAAAAGUUCCAUUACCGUUUGUAGAAACACGUCAAACGAUGUUUACAAUCAAUCCUUUAGGGUAUUUUUUUACGUAAAAUUGCGAUAAUUUUACAACCGGGCAAUAGGUAUUCAUCCCAGAAGAAAAUAUUAUAUUUUCUGGGCCAGAGUAGUAAUCUGUUUAAAUUGGGUACGUUUUUCAUCUGGCCGUGAAAAUACUGCCCCUAGCCCCAACAGGUUUUAAGGUAGGGAUGUCCCAAGGAUCCCGGAUAGCAUUGACCAUUGUGCAUUCUUCUGUCUCUUUUUUACAUAGCAAGUGAUAGGUUCUGACUUCUGAACUUGAAAAUAUGAAAUAUCCUUAUUUAUGUCACUGUUUGAGAGAAGGGGAUGUAGAACGUUUACAUUCUGUCAGAAUGUGUUAUUGUUAGAUGUCAGGGAUCCUAUGGAAGGAGAAGGGCCACAGUCUGGUACAAGUCAACAGGACAGCCGUGAGGUGGGGAGGAGAAGGGCCACAGUCUGGAACAAGUCAACAGGACAGCCGUGAGGUGGGGAGGAGAAGGGCCACAGUCUGGAACAAGUCAACAGGACAGCUGUGAGGUGGGGAGGAGAAGGGCCACAGUCUGGUACAAGUCAACAGGACAGCCGUGAGGUGGGGAGGAGAAGGGCCACAGUCUGGAACAAGUCAACAGGACAGCCGUGAGGUGGGGAGGAGAAGGGCCACAGUCUGGAACAAGUCAACAGGACAGCCGUGAGGUGGGGAGGAGAAGGGCCACAGUCUGGAACAAGUCAACAGGACAGCUGUGAGGUGGGGAGGAGAAGGGCCACAGUCUGGUACAAGUCAACAGGACAGCCGUGAGGUGGGGAGGAGAAGGGCCACAGUCUGGAACAAGUCAACAGGACAGCCGUGAGGUGGGGAGGAGUGAGGAAUUUAGGCCGAGGUUAGGUCAGAUGAAGUGAGGAAGAACUGAUAUCACUAAAGUUCUGCCUAGCAACAGAGGUGUAAGGAGGAGACUCAGCAUAAAUGGUUAAAUACCAGUAAGGAGGAGACUCAGCAUAAAGGGUUAAAUACCAGUAAGGAGGAGACUCAGCAUAAAGGGUUAAAUACCAGUAAGGAUGAGACUCAGCAUAAAGGGUUAAAUACCAG